Molecule: long non-coding RNA, 883 nt
Organism: Sinocyclocheilus anshuiensis
Lineage: Eukaryota; Metazoa; Chordata; Actinopteri; Cypriniformes; Cyprinidae
Exons: 3
Source: RefSeq, a predicted model, not a curated record
ACAUUUUUCAUUUCCUAUGUAAUUCACAUUAAUGUACACAUUUAAAAACCUCUAAGGUAAUGCAGGACUAUUUGUGAACUGCUUAGGAAAUGAAUAAUGUGAAUAGGAAGCCCUGAACAGAUAUAAAGACAAAAAUAUUGUAAUUUGUAAGUUUUCAACAAUAUAACUGAUAAGACUGUCCAUUAAGGGUUUAAGUUAGGCAAUACAUUUACCACCUAUAGCAUUAAUACAACGAGCUAACUGUUUAGGGAGCCAAAAAGCAAUGCAAUGUUUUCGGUCUCUGCAUGUAUGGGUCAUGAAAUCAAAAAAUUAUAAUAAAAUGUAGUCAAAUACAAUGACAAUGUGACCUUGAUCCCAAUACAACAGUACACACAUAAUGUACAUGCAAAAAGAUAACUAUUCAGAUCAGAUUGACCAAAUCAGAGUGACAAAAUAUAAAGGCAUUUGUUGCAGAUCCAUUCCAGUUUUAGACCAUUCUUCCAUACAGGACUCUAUUAGCAGUUGUUUAUUUAACAGCAGGUGUAAGGGGGGAGAUGCUGAAGCUAAAACCUUAUAAUAUUAUCAGAUAAAACAAGCACCUAUGCACACACCUGUACUUAUAAAGAGUGAAAAAUGAUCAAACGCUGUCAGUGCAGUUGCUAAACAUUGCGUUAUACAGAGGAAUGGUGUGGAGGAAAAGCUGGCUUUAUUCUUGAGGGGAACCUUUCAGAAUUCCGUGACAGACAUCCGGUAAUUUUGCUACUGCAGCUCAAAGAAAAAUAAAAAUGUCAGGUUCCAAGACAUGCAGAAAACCACACUGACAUGGCCCUUUAUAAAGUCUGAGUCAGUCUAGAAGUUACAUAACUCAACUACUUUCAUAAAUCUAGUUCUUGUGCAACUGUGC